ACGAGUCUUUGAAGUGGGUUUGAUGCUGGCCUUCCCAAAGGCAUGUGCUCGCCCUACUCUCAUCCACUCACACCUGUGCACCUUGACGUACAAGAUCUGACUAUUUGCCCUUAGGGGGCAGCCUAGGGAAACUUGGGCUAUGGUUAUUUCUUUGCGUUACUUCUAUACAAACCCUGAAUGUAUUAGAAUGUCUACUGGCCUACGGGCUCUAAUGUUAAUA
Molecule: unclassified non-coding RNA, 220 nt
Filed under: uncultured Hyphoderma
Lineage: Eukaryota; Fungi; Basidiomycota; Agaricomycetes; Polyporales; Hyphodermataceae
Description: sequence contains ITS1
Source: RNAcentral